CCUACGGGAGGCAGCAGUGGGGAAUUUUGGACAAUGGGCGCAAGCCUGAUCCAGCAAUGCCGCGUGCAGGAUGAAGGCCUUCGGGUUGUAAACUGCUUUUGCACGGAACGAAACGGCUCCUAUUAAUACUGGGGGCUAAUGACGGUACCGUAAGAAUAAGCACCGGCUAACUACGUGCCAGCAGCCGCGGUAAUACGUAGGGUGCGAGCGUUAAUCGGAAUUACUGGGCGUAAAGCGUGCGCAGGCGGUUAUAUAAGACAGAUGUGAAAUCCCCGGGCUCAACCUGGGACCUGCAUUUGUGACUGUAUAGCUAGAGUACGGUAGAGGGGGAUGGAAUUCCGCGUGUAGCAGUGAAAUGCGUAGAUAUGCGGAGGAACACCGAUGGCGAAGGCAAUCCCCUGGACCUGUACUGACGCUCAUGCACGAAAGCGUGGGGAGCAAACAGGAUUAGAUACCCUGGUAGUCCACGCCCUAAACCGAUGUCAACUGGUUGUUGGGUCUUCACUGACUCAGUAACGAAGCUAACGCGUGAAGUUGACCGCCUGGGGAGUCGGCCGCAAGGUUGAACUCAAAGGAAUUGACGGCUGAGAGNGCGAGCGACGACGAGGGAGAGG
RNAcentral lists this ribosomal RNA (614 nucleotides) under uncultured bacterium. RNAcentral's name for it is "bacterial SSU rRNA". It matches the Rfam family "Bacterial small subunit ribosomal RNA", at positions 338 to 946 of the family's 1533-position model. The record is from RNAcentral.